AAAUAAUGCAGGAUCGACGCACAUCUUUGAAGCCACAGACAAUUGAUGACAUCAUGUUCCUGCAUAGUAAUGUUCCAAAGUAAAAAGAAUUUGAAUCAGAAGCAAGCAGAAGAUGAAAAUAUUAUAUCUGAAGCCUAUAAGCUACUAUAAAAUCACAUUUCCUUCAACGCAAGAGUUACACAGCUCGGAUCAUGAGUGUCACUAGGAUUAAGAACAAACAACAGAUUCAACCAUUAACUUCCACAGUGACAAGUAGUGCAGUGGACUUGAAGCUUUACCUCGUGUCGGCUAUGUGCCAUGAAACAAGCUAAAGAACCCUACUUUUAAGAGCUUCCAGGACAGUGUCAGCAGCCGCAAUAUGCCACAAGUGUUGGCAUUUCACAAAAAUUAUUUGAGACAGGCCUAUGAAAAAAAGAGCUAUUGCUGGAGAUAAAAAAAGACAUU
This is a long non-coding RNA of Schistocerca gregaria, 444 nucleotides long. RefSeq lists it as uncharacterized. The record is from RefSeq and is a predicted model, not a curated record. The transcript has 3 exons. NCBI's taxonomy places the organism in Eukaryota, Metazoa, Arthropoda, Insecta, Orthoptera, Acrididae.